UACGUAGGGACCGAGCGUUGUCCGGAAUUAUUGGGCGUAAAGAGCGUGUAGGCGGCUAGAUAGGUCCGUUGUGAAAACUCGAGGCUCAACCUCGAGACGCCGGUGGAAACCAUCAGGCUAGAGUCCGGAAGAGGAGAGUGGAAUUCCUGGUGUAGCGGUGAAAUGCGCAGAUAUCAGGAAGAACACCCGUGGCUAAGGCGGCUCUCUAGUACGGUACUGACGCUGAGACGCGAAAGCGUGGGGAGCGAACAGG
This 253-nucleotide ribosomal RNA is filed under the name uncultured bacterium. RNAcentral's name for it is "partial 16S ribosomal RNA". It matches the Rfam family "Bacterial small subunit ribosomal RNA", at positions 524 to 776 of the family's 1533-position model. The record is from RNAcentral.